GACGAACGCUGGCGGCGUGCUUAACACAUGCAAGUCGAACGAAGAGCGAUGGAAGCUUGCUUCUCUCAAUCUUAGUGGCGAACGGGUGAGUAACGCGUAAUCAACCUGCCCUUCAGAGGGGGACAACAGUUGGAAACGACUGCUAAUACCGCAUACGAUCUAAUCUCGGCAUCGAGGAUAGAUGAAAGGUGGCCUCUACAUGUAAGCUAUCACUGAAGGAGGGGAUUGCGUCUGAUUAGCUAGUUGGAGGGGUAACGGCCCACCAAGGCGAUGAUCAGUAGCCGGUCUGAGAGGAUGAACGGUCACAUUGGGACUGAGACACGGCCCAGACUCCUACGGGAGGCAGCAGUGGGGAAUCUUCCGCAAUGGACGAAAGUCUGACGGAGCAACGCCGCGUGAGUGAUGACGGCCUUCGGGUUGUAAAGCUCUGUUAAUCGGGACGAAAGGCCUUCUUGCGAAUAGUGAGAAGGAUUGACGGUACCGGAAUAGAAAGCCACGGCUAACUACGUG
This 510-nucleotide ribosomal RNA is filed under the name uncultured bacterium. RNAcentral describes it as "partial 16S ribosomal RNA". It matches the Rfam family "Bacterial small subunit ribosomal RNA", at positions 28 to 507 of the family's 1533-position model. The record is from RNAcentral.